Molecule: ribosomal RNA, 290 nt
Filed under: Procerovum sp. 1 AC-2021
Lineage: Eukaryota; Metazoa; Platyhelminthes; Trematoda; Opisthorchiida; Heterophyidae
Description: partial small subunit ribosomal RNA
Source: RNAcentral
GUUACUAAGAAUAUGGGAGGUAGAAUUUUUAUUAGCUGGAUAAGGGUUUAUAGUUGUGGUGGGGGCUAUUUUAAAAAAAGGAUUAGAGACCCUUGUAUUGAGUUGGGUUAGUUUGUGACUCUCUAGUGUAAACUAAAAAGGCUUGGCAGCCGAUGAGGUUCGUCCGGGGGAGUGUGUGCUUUAAGAGAUGAUCCGCUUAUGAAUUCACCUAAUUAAUGGUUGGUUAGUGUAUAUCCGGUUUAAUACUUGUGGUUAGUGCUGCUGAGUGUAGAUAACGGAUUGAAGCCAGG